GACGAACGCUGGCGGCGUGCUUAACACAUGCAAGUCGAACGGAUUGUCGAACGGGUGAGUAACACGUGGGUGACCUGCCCUGCACUUCUGGUUAAGCCUGUGAAACUGGGUCUAAUACCGGAUAGUGUGGGAUGGGCCCGCGGCCUAUCAGCUUGUUGGUGGGGUAAGGGCCUACCAGGGCGGCGACGGGUGGCCGGCCUGAGAGGGUGGACGGCCAAAUGGGGGCUGAGACACGGCCCAGACGCCGACGGGAGGGAGAAGGGGGGAAGAUUGCACAAUGGGCGGAAGCCUGAUGCAGCGACGACGAGUGGGGGAUGACGGCAUUCGGGUUGUAAACUCCUUUCACCAUCGACGAGGUAGAUGGAGAAGAAGCACCGGCUAACUACGUGCCAGCCGCCGCGGUAAUUC
Molecule: ribosomal RNA, 408 nt
Filed under: uncultured bacterium
Lineage: Bacteria
Description: partial 16S ribosomal RNA
Rfam family: Bacterial small subunit ribosomal RNA
Source: RNAcentral